RNAcentral lists this long non-coding RNA (223 nucleotides) under Mytilus galloprovincialis (Mediterranean mussel). Lineage: Eukaryota; Metazoa; Mollusca; Bivalvia; Mytilida; Mytilidae. The record is from RNAcentral.
CCAAAAAUGAAGGUUGGGAUUGGUUUUGGGGGUGAUGGUUCCACUCGUUUAGGGAAAAGGGGCCAAAACGAGCAUUUUUCUGGUUUCUGCACAAUAUCUUGUGAAUAACUUCUUUUUUGAUUGCUCCAAAAUUGUACCACAAGGUUAAAUACCACAAGUAGAAGGUUUGGAUUGAUUUUGGGGGUAAUUGCCAAAACCGUUCAGGAAAGAGGGGCAAAAAAGG